CCUACGGUAGGCAGCAGUGAGGCAUAUUGGUCAAUGGACGCAAGUCUGAACCAGCCAUGCCGCGUGCAGGAAGACGGCUCUAUGAGUUGUAAACUGCUUUUGUACGCGGGUAAACGCAGAUACGCGUAUCUGUCUGAAAGUAUCGUACGAAUAAGGAUCGGCUAACUCCGUGCCAGCAGCCGCGGUAAUACGGAGGAUUCAAGCGUUAUCCGGAUUUAUUGGGUUUAAAGGGUGCGUAGGCGGUCGGAUAAGUUAGAGGUGAAAUCCCGAGGCUCAACUUCGGAAUUGCCUCUGAUACUGGUCGGCUAGAGAGUAGUUGCGGUAGGCGGAAUGUAUGGUGUAGCGGUGAAAUGCUUAGAGAGCAUACAGAACACCGAUUGCGAAGGCAGCUUACCAAGCUACUUCUGACGUUGAGGCACGAAAGCGUGGGGAGCAAACAGGAUUAGAUACCCCGGUAGUC
This 460-nucleotide ribosomal RNA is filed under the name uncultured bacterium. RNAcentral describes it as "partial 16S ribosomal RNA". It matches the Rfam family "Bacterial small subunit ribosomal RNA", at positions 338 to 795 of the family's 1533-position model. The record is from RNAcentral.